RNAcentral lists this long non-coding RNA (805 nucleotides) under Brassica napus (rape). Its description in RNAcentral is "long non-coding RNA (BNAP_LNC026029)". Lineage: Eukaryota; Viridiplantae; Streptophyta; Magnoliopsida; Brassicales; Brassicaceae. The record is from RNAcentral.
UUCACCCCUAAGGUGAACCUUUAAAUUCAUCUCCCCUCUUAUUACCAAUCAAAAUGUUAUAUAAAUUAAUAAUAAAAUAUAUUAUUUUGUAAAAAAAAAUCUAAAAUAAUUGAAAAAAAAUAAUGAAGCUCAUUUUAAUGACGCUAACGCCACUAACUAAACCCUAAAUCUUAAAUUCUAAACCCUAAACCUUAAAUCUAAACCCUAAACCCUAAAUUCUAAACUCAAACUCUAAACCCUAAACCCAAACCCUAUAUAUUAAACCCAAAUCUUAAACCAUAAACCCAAACCGUACACUCUAAACCCAAACCCUAGACCUUAAACUCAAACCCUAGAUCCUAAACCCAAACCUAGACUCUAAACCCAAAUCUUAAACCCUAAAGAAACAACAUCAACAUUAACCCAAACCUUUAGGAUAUAAGAUUUGAGUUCAGGGUUUACGAUUUGAAUUUAGGGUGUAGGGAUUAGGUUUGGAUAUAUGGUUUGAGUUUAGAGUCUAUGAAUUGAGUUUAGAGUCUAUGAAUUGAGUUUAGGAUAUAGGGUUUGGGUUUAGGGUUUACGGUUUGGGUUUAGGGUUUAGGAUUUGGGUUUAGGAUUUGGGUUUAGGAUAUAGGGUUUGGGUUUAGGGUUUAGGAUUUGGGUUUAGGAUAUAGGGUUUGGGUUUAGGGUUUAAGAUUUGGAUUUAGGGUUUAGGGUAUAGAUUUAAAGUUUAGGGUUUAGUUUGUGGCGUUAGCAUCAUUAAAAUUGGCGUUAUUAUUUUUUUUCAAUUAUUUCAUAUUUUUUUAAAUAAAAUUAAUCUAUUUUA